UACGAAGGGGGCUAGCGUUGUUCGGAAUUACUGGGCGUAAAGCGUAUGUAGGCGGAUCGUUCAGUCGGGGGUGAAAUCCCGAGGCUCAACCUCGGAACUGCCUUCGAUACUGGCGAUCUUCGAGUCCGGGAGAGGUGAGUGGAACUCCGAGUGUAGAGGUGAAAUUCGUAGAUAUUCGGAAGAACACCAGUGGCGAAGGCGGCUCACUGGCCCGGUACUGACGCUGAAAUACGAAAGCGUGGGGAGCAAACAGG
This 254-nucleotide ribosomal RNA is filed under the name uncultured bacterium. RNAcentral describes it as "partial 16S ribosomal RNA". It matches the Rfam family "Bacterial small subunit ribosomal RNA", at positions 524 to 776 of the family's 1533-position model. The record is from RNAcentral.